ACCUGCGGAUCCUGCUCCCGUCACCACUUCUGUACUUGGGGUCUAACAGGGCCUCAGCGCAACAUGGAGUUCCUCCUUCCCUGACAUCAUAGCCCCUGCCUGGGAGGCCUCCUGGAUGACUCGUCUCGCCUCCUCCCUUCCCUGGGAGCAGCCCCUGGCUGAACCUCCACCUCCAUGCUGCCUUGGACCACCUGCCCCGUCCAGUUGCCAUCACCUGUCAGAAAUAAGGAGAGUCAGCAAUUACCAGCCAGCCGAGGUCCUGGAAGCUGACGUAGAGCUCGUGCCGACGGCAGACCUGCCGGCCGUGGGAGCCGUGGACGUCAUCUGCAGGGACAGAAGGGGCAAGGUCUUUUCUGGGGUUCCUGCUGUGUGCAGCUACUAUGUGUGCAGCUACUAUGGGGUACCAGGGUGGGGGAUGCCCUGAUGAGCACAUUUGUCAAAUAAAUGAAUGACAGGAAACCA
This 462-nucleotide non-coding RNA is filed under the name Pongo abelii (Sumatran orangutan). Lineage: Eukaryota; Metazoa; Chordata; Mammalia; Primates; Hominidae. The record is from RNAcentral.